Schistosoma curassoni is the source of this 30-nucleotide non-coding RNA. The record is from Rfam. NCBI's taxonomy places the organism in Eukaryota, Metazoa, Platyhelminthes, Trematoda, Strigeidida, Schistosomatidae.
ACGAGUCCCAAAUAGGACGAAACGUGCGUC